This 540-nucleotide long non-coding RNA is filed under the name Canis lupus familiaris (dog). Its description in RNAcentral is "lncRNA (ENSCAFG00845003489.1)". The record is from RNAcentral. Lineage: Eukaryota; Metazoa; Chordata; Mammalia; Carnivora; Canidae.
ACAGAGCUGAACGGUUUUCUGCAGGACACCACUAAGCAGGAGAGAAUGACAAGCUGGAUGAUGAUAUAAAUAUUUGGAAUUAGGACAACAUACAAGAUUAGGGCUGGCCAGCCCCUGGACUAUGCCAUGUGUGCAUAUACAGGCUCCUAGGAUGAACAUCCUCAAAUCCCAACCUCUCUCCCAGAAGCUGUGUCUCUACAGAACUGUGUUGGCCGAGACUGCUCUCAACUGAAUUGGGCCCAGCUCAGAGAGGCAGCUGCUGGGUAUCAACUCAGCUUCCAGGCCAUUGUAGAAAACAUAGAACCAGCCAGGAAGCCAGACUCCUGUCCUGCCCCUGCAGCCCCUGGGCCAUCGCGAAGAUCAACUCCUAGCCAGAGCCCACGUUCUGAAGUUGCUUGAGUUUGGACUAUCCAGCAGAACACAGAUGCCACAGCAGCGGGCCGGUCACAGAACACUAAGGCUCAUUCAUUUGAAAAAGUUUCCAACUUUUAGCUCAGCAUUUGGUACAUAAAAGACACACCACAAAUAUCUUUUGAGUCG